GUGGGGAAUCUUGCGCAAUGGGCGAAAGCCUGACGCAGCCAUGCCGCGUGGAUGAUGAAGGUCUUAGGAUUGUAAAAUCCUUUCACCGGUGAAGAUAAUGACUGUAGCCGGAGAAGAAGCCCCGGCUAACUUCGUGCCAGCAGCCGCGGUAAUACGUAGGGGGCGAGCGUUAUCCGGAAUUAUUGGGCGUAAAGCGUGCGUAGGCGGAAUGUUAAGUCAUUUGUAAAAGAUCUCAGCCUAACUGAGUAAGGCGAAUGAAACUGGCAAUCUUGAAUACGGUAGAGGUAAGUGGAAUUCAAUGUGUAGCGGUGGAAUGCGUAGAUAUAUGGAGGAACACCAAUGGCGAAGGCAGCUUACUGGGCCGGAAUUGACGCUGAGGCACGAAAGCGUGGGGAGCAAACAGGAUUAGAAACCCGGGUAGUCC
RNAcentral lists this ribosomal RNA (424 nucleotides) under uncultured bacterium. RNAcentral describes it as "partial 16S ribosomal RNA". It matches the Rfam family "Bacterial small subunit ribosomal RNA", at positions 354 to 796 of the family's 1533-position model. The record is from RNAcentral.